AGGACAACUCUCAACAACGGAUAUCUUGGCUCCCGUAACGAUGAAGAACGCAGCGAAAUGCGAUACGUAGUGUGAAUUGCAGAAUUCCGUGAAUCAUCGAGUCUUUGAACGCAAAUCGCGCUCGAGGCUUCGGCCGAGAGCAUGUCUGCCUCAGCGUC
RNAcentral lists this ribosomal RNA (158 nucleotides) under Dictyochloropsis splendida. RNAcentral's name for it is "5.8S ribosomal RNA". It matches the Rfam family "5.8S ribosomal RNA". Rfam says of the family: 5.8S ribosomal RNA (5.8S rRNA) is a component of the large subunit of the eukaryotic ribosome. It is transcribed by RNA polymerase I as part of the 45S precursor that also contains 18S and 28S rRNA. The record is from RNAcentral. Lineage: Eukaryota; Viridiplantae; Chlorophyta; Trebouxiophyceae; Trebouxiales; Trebouxiaceae.